GAUGAACGCUGGCGGCGUGCCUAAUACAUGCAAGUCGAGCGAACGGACGAGAAGCUUGCUUCUCUGAUGUUAGCGGCGGACGGGUGAGUAACACGUGGAUAACCUACCUAUAAGACUGGGAUAACUUCGGGAAACCGGAGCUAAUACCGGAUAAUAUUUUGAACCGCAUGGUUCAAAAGUGAAAGACGGUCUUGCUGUCACGUAUAGAUGGAUCUGCGCUGCAUUAGCUAGUUGGUAAGGUAACGGCUUACGAAGGCAACGAUGCAUAGCCGACCUGAGAGGGUGAGUGGCCACCCUGGAACUGAGACACGGUCCAGACUCCUACGGGAGGCAGCAGUAGGGAAUCUUCCGCAAUGGGCGAAAGCCUGACGGAGCAACGCCGCGUGAGUGAUGAAGGUCUUCGGAUCGUAAAACUCUGUUAUUAGGGAAGAACAUAUGUGUAAGUAAAUGUGCACAUCUUGACGGUAACUAAUCAGAAAGCAACGGCUAACUACGUG
RNAcentral lists this ribosomal RNA (497 nucleotides) under uncultured bacterium. Its description in RNAcentral is "partial 16S ribosomal RNA". It matches the Rfam family "Bacterial small subunit ribosomal RNA", at positions 28 to 507 of the family's 1533-position model. The record is from RNAcentral.